UUGUGUUGUUUAGGGUUAUUCUCGUCACUAUAAGGUUUAACACCAAAAAUCUAAAGAAACAACAGAUAUUACUGAUGAGUAUGAGAAAAUGAAUGAACAUAAUUUAAACUGAGUACUCGAACAAUCAGUCGCCAUGGGACAUUCUGGCAAUCUUUCCCGUAUGGUGGAACAUUUUUUUCGUUCUGAAGGAAAAACUUCAGAACUGCACCAACAGGACAGAAAAUCUGAUGCGUUUCCUGUCUCAUUUUAUAAGGUUAUUUUGAACAAUUUUAAUUAACCAUUUAUUACUUAUGGGAUCUCUUCCUCCUGUGGACAGUUUUCCAAACUCUUCUUGUGUUCAGCUGAAAUGGCAGUGAAGUCUGGUGUCUUAGCUCUAUUAUAUUCGCUGUUCUUGAUGUCAGAUGCAGAGUCUUGCCCUAACCAAAAUUUAACAGACUGGGCCGGUUCAUUUCAGCCUUCAAGCUACCCAUCGAAGUACGCACCAAAUUUGGACUGCUAUUGGCUGAUUCAAGUGUCAGAUGGAAAUCUUAUUGAAAUCAACUUUCAAGAUUUUGCGAUGGACGGUGAUACGGUGGAUAAUUGCCCUAAUGACUAUGUGGAGGUUCUGGAAGGUUCUUAUGGAAGCACCGAUUCUAUAAAGCGUGUUUGUGGCGCGAAUCUACCAUUUGAAGAUGAGUAUCGCGUGGUUCGUUCAAAAGGUAGCUCGCUUCUCGUGCACAUGCACACAGACGAUGCCAACCAAAACCGAGGAUUUGCAGCAAACCAUCAAGGUAUUUGUAAAGUGACAUUUUCGACAGUGUCAGGAACCAUCAUGUCUCCAAAUCAUCCUGACAAAUAUCCAAACAGUGUGAUGUGUGAGUGGAUCAUUGAUCUGGGUCCAGGAUAUGAUAUUACUCUGACUUUCCAUAAGUUUAAUUUGGAAAAGAAAGAUGACUGUUCAUGGGAUUGGCUGACGGUACAGGCCGGAAACACUCCAGAUUCCCCGGUAGUAAUUAAAGUGUGUGGUGAUGUACUUCCUCCUGAUAUAAAAACUAGUGGACCAAUGAGGAUCUACUUCCAGACAGACAAUGACAACGAGUUUGAAGGGUUCCACAUGACCUGGGUAGCCGAGGAUCAAAACGAGUGCAAUAAACCUGAAACCUGCCAUUCAAAUGCCACGUGUGCCAACACAGAUGGUUCAUAUCAGUGCACGUGUAUGCUGAGUUACACUGGAGACGGCAAAACCUGUCAGUAUUAUAAAGAUUUUGACGAGUGUGACCUGGAAUAUGACAACUGUCAUGAAGAUGCUUUGUGUGUAAAUACACCGACUCACUUUGAGUGCCAUUGCAAGAAUGGCUUUUUGGGGGAUGGGAUUAACUGUACAGAUAUCGACGAGUGUGAAACUAGUGAAUUGGCUCACAAGCACAACUGUCAUGUCAAUGCUAGCUGUGCAAAUACUCACGGAUCGUUCAACUGCACAUGUGUCUCGGUUUACACAGGAGAUGGAGUGUCCUGUAUAGAUAUCGAUGAAUGUCAAGUAAACACUCAUAACUGCCAUGAGGAUGGUGUAUGCAUUAACACUGACGGCUCUUUCAGAUGCGAAUGUAAAGUAGGCUUUAUCGGAAGUGGAGAGAUCUGUUCAGAUGUAAAUGAAUGCUCUGAAGAAACAGAUAACUGUGACGAUGAUGCCACGUGUACAAAUACCAACGGAUCAUUUGUCUGCACGUGUGAUCAAGGAUAUAGUGGAAAUGGAGUCAAUUGCUCAGAUGUGGACGAAUGCACUCUAAAUCUUCAUGACUGUCACGAAGAUGGAUAUUGCACCAACACCAAGGGUUCUUAUCACUGUACUUGUAACACUGGAUACACAGGCAAUGGAGUAACAUGCACUGGUAAGAGAUGUUUGCAUUCCACAAGAGUUAUCACUGCAUGGUUGUAAACAUGUUUGUUGCAAUAUGGCAUUGUUUAACGCAAAUCAAGCUUUAUAAAGCAAAAGCGGGCUUUGUAAAGCGCUGAUUUGAUCGAAAAAGUAAACAAUGUCCUAUUCAGCAAACAUAAUAUGGAUCAGGAGUUACUCGCACACCCCAUGCCACCGAAAUCAUUUUACAAUUCAUUCAUCCCUCGCUAUCUAACACCAUCUCAGUUUGAACAGGAUUUAGCAUCAAGCUCCAAUUAAAGGUAAGCGAGUUUAUUUGCUUCAAUUUUACGUGUUUACUUUCGGUAUAUUCCUGCGCUAAUCGGUAAAAAACAUAUUCCUUGUGCAAGUUUUGCAGCGUAGUUUUGCACUUUUGAGAGGUUCCUGUGUCUGUAUCACGGCGGUGGGGAAGAUCAAGCGAAUGACGUGAAGGAACGAACAAGGAAGCCACUUACAGGGUUAGCAGGAUGUUAUGAAAGUACUGACGAGUAACGAUGUUUACUGACUUAGUCCUCUUCGUUCCUAGUGGAACAUAGGUCUUCGACCAGCUCUCGCCACCUGACCCUGUUUUGUGCAGUAUCUUUCGCCUCAUGCCUAGGAAGCCGUAUCUCCUCCAACUCUGCCAUUCUCGUGCGCCUGGAGGUGGGGUCCUGCUCUCUGUCGCUUCCCCGUUGGGUUCCAAUGUAAUCCAUUCUUGGCUACAUGUACGUGUCUGUUUGCCUUCUCUGCCUGUAGCCAAUCCAACGCCAAGCUGAGCAGUAAUGAUAGUCAGCGUUAAAUAUUAUCCUGUAGAAGCAAAUCCAGAGCUGCUCAAAAAGAGGUGGAGGCGAAGUAAAAUUCUUAGCCGUUAAAAGAAGGCCUUGCCUUGCAAACUCACACAGUGGGAAAGAUGAUUUUCAACCCAUCCAGGCACACAGGUUCCCGGUUCCCACCCCCCUUCCCUAGUCAGAGCAUUCAAAUUCAACUAUGCACAAAUCACAUUUCUUUUUCGUUCAAGUGGUCCUGAAAUGAGUUUAAAUGAAAAACUGCCAACAUUGUUUUGUACAACUUAAAACAGCCAAAUGGUAUUUCGUCUGAAAAGGGAUAAAUAGCUCUAACUUUUUACAAGUUAGGUAAAUAACGCUUAAUGUAUUUCUUUCUAUUCCUCUUUAGGUCAUUGACUGAGAAAAUAUCAGACAAAAGUAAAAGUGGCAUAAACGGUUAAUCGUUCGUUUUGCCACCAUGCAUACCGAGUGUGUCGAUAAAGUAGGUAUUAACUUUGGUUGCAAGAAACGAGUCUUAGAGAAUUUACAAUAUAUUCAUAUAUCUUCUACACAGUCAUAUCCAAGCAAACCUAUUUAGACAACUGAAAUAGUGCUCUAAGACGAGUUCCGUUUCUUGUUUACUGGAGGAGGGGAUAUAAUGUAUAGUUUAACAUCUGAAGCAUCCCGAUUUAGCAAAUUAACGUGGUUUAUUGGCUGGAAAUGUAAAAAAGUUUAAUUUGCAAGGAAUGUUCCCUGCAUGAGUCAUAUUAUUCUUUAUGUAAGGUAAUUGUUAAAGACAAUUGUUCUCUUACCUGCUUGCAGGGUGAACACUACACUGUAGUUAAAUACGCUUCGUUAAGAUUUCUAAACAGAGUCCAAGAAGCAACUUACGUCAUGAUGGCUGUCGAAAUUCUUUUGAUCCAUCAAGAGUUCAUUAACUGUCUCAAAGUCUUACAACUUACAUAAAUCCAUAGCGUAAAGGUUUUAGAUACUUCCUGACUUGUUCAUCUGCAUUCAUAAGGCUCUCUUGUAUGCAUGUGCCUGAGUUGUCGUCCUGUCAGACUUUUGAAGCUAGAUGGUGAUAUUAAAAAUACCUGGAAUAUAAGCAAAGGGUUGAAGAUUCAAACUAGUCUUUUUCAGAACCAUCCGAGGGUAAAUAUACUCCCGGUAAAUAUUUUCUCAUUUCAGCCCUUGGUUAAGAGGAGAGUAUAGAGAAGUAGCAAAACCGACUUAGAGGUACUAAAACCCAUACUUUUUUUGAAAGCUGUUUACGAUUAUCACUGUUUUUCUUUUUUAUAUAUCGCUUUUUCUUAAGUAUUCAAGAGUAUGGCACAAAUCAUUUUUUUUAUAGAUGUCGGCUAACACAUGCUGCUACAACAGAGGAAGUUCUCCUACCCAAGACGCAACGUCAUCAAUUACUCCCACUAUGCAGUUAUUUGUAUAUAGAGGAAUGUUCAACGAACAAGGACAACUGCCAUGUUGAUGCAAACUGCACCAAUACCAAGGGAUCAUUCUUCUGUACUUGUCAUACGGGCUACACCGGUGAUGGAGUCACUUGUGCUGAUAUCGAGGAAUGUACAACAGAUACCCAUAACUGCCACGCUGACGCUAACUGCACCAAUUCCAAAGGAUCUUUCUACUGCACAUGUCGCACGGGAUAUUCUGGAGAUGGCGUCACUUGUGUUGGUAAAACAACUGUUUCUUAAAUUGAAAUAUUACAAAGCAUUAGUGACGCAUUUAUUUCUGUAGUAAUUGUGUUCAUCGGUUCAAAAUCAUGAAGGAUUGUUUUGGUACCGUGAACGUACUUCUGGAUUUAAUUUUUAUUCAUUUUUGUUUUUAUACUUGGUACUUCAGAAAUAAAGGAAAUCCAGAAUCUUCCUUAAAUUUUUGAGACCAAAACUCAAAGUGGGAAUACUACCAAAUCAAAUAUCCACAAGUACGUGUACGUACAGCUUUAGUUAUUUUAUUAUCACGAAAGUCGUA
Unclassified non-coding RNA from Orbicella faveolata, 4617 nucleotides. NCBI's taxonomy places the organism in Eukaryota, Metazoa, Cnidaria, Anthozoa, Scleractinia, Merulinidae. The record is from RefSeq and is a predicted model, not a curated record.